GAUGAACGCUGGCGGCGUGCCUAAUACAUGCAAGUCGAGCGAACAGACGAGGAGCUUGCUCCUUUGACGUUAGCGGCGGACGGGUGAGUAACACGUGGAUAACCUACCUAUAAGACUGGGAUAACUUCGGGAAACCGGAGCUAAUACCGGAUAAUAUAUUGAACCGCAUGGUUCAAUAGUGAAAGACGGUUUUGCUGUCACUUCUAGAUGGAUCCGCGCCGUAUUAGCUAGUUGGUAAGGUAACGGCUUACCAAGGCUACGAUGCGUAGCCGACCUGAGAGGGGGAUCGGCCACACUGGAACGGAGACACGGUCCAGACUCCUACGGGAGGCAGCAGUAGGGAAUCUUACGCAAUGGGCGAAAGCAUGACGGAGCAACGCCGCGUGAGUGAUGAAGGCCUUCGGAUCGUAAAACUCUGUUAUUAGGGAAGAACAAAUGUGUAAGGAACUGUGCACGUCUUGACGGUACCUAAUCAGAAAGCCACGGUUAACUACGUG
Molecule: ribosomal RNA, 497 nt
Filed under: uncultured bacterium
Lineage: Bacteria
Description: partial 16S ribosomal RNA
Rfam family: Bacterial small subunit ribosomal RNA
Source: RNAcentral